RNAcentral lists this long non-coding RNA (403 nucleotides) under Mytilus galloprovincialis (Mediterranean mussel). The record is from RNAcentral. Lineage: Eukaryota; Metazoa; Mollusca; Bivalvia; Mytilida; Mytilidae.
CAUUCUCAGUAAGAUUUGUUGGGGGGUUUUCCACACUAUAAAAACAAAAUGAAUGAUGUGAGGGAAUGUCACUCUGGUCAACCCCAUUGGGGAUUGACGGCUUGAAGCCGUCUUCCCCAAAAACUGAUUCGAAAGUUUUAUGAUUUCAAUGCCUAGUUUUCCUUACAAUUAUUUUCAUCAUUGUCAAAAGCAAUAAAGGGCCAUAACUCAUCUUCAGCAUAAGUUGUAACUGCAUGUUAUCACCAGAAACAAAAUAUUCAUAUUUGAAAAAAAUUGGUUGAAUAGUUUUCAAGUUAUCACACUGAAACAGCAUAAGUAAAAUCAGCACUUGGUCUUUUUGGUACUAAUCAACAUAGUGACUAAAGAAAAUCAUUGCCAGCUGAUUUUUUUCUUGAAAUUUUCG